Molecule: non-coding RNA, 126 nt
Filed under: Polytomella parva
Lineage: Eukaryota; Viridiplantae; Chlorophyta; Chlorophyceae; Chlamydomonadales; Chlamydomonadaceae
Source: RNAcentral
GGAAGGGCAAGAAGUAAGGGAAAAGGGAGAAUGAAAGAGGAGGGUGGAAGAGGAAAGGAGAAAAGGGAAGGGAGCAGACGGUCGAAACGGAGUUGUUGGUUAAAUAGAAAGUGAAGAAGAAGCAAG